RNAcentral lists this long non-coding RNA (551 nucleotides) under Salvia miltiorrhiza (redroot sage). Its description in RNAcentral is "long non-coding RNA (SMIL_LNC010838)". The record is from RNAcentral. Lineage: Eukaryota; Viridiplantae; Streptophyta; Magnoliopsida; Lamiales; Lamiaceae.
GGAAAUCUAACUUGGAACUACAAUUCCAAAGUCAAGGGGAAAAUGCUUAUCUUUGCUUUCUUACAGUAUUAAAACUCUUAUGUCUUCAUGAUUUGCAGGGAUUAAGGAAAACAGCACAGCGCUGGCUUUAACAAUACUUGACUGGCUGAACACGAAGAAUACCCGGUUCAACCAGACCAGGGGGGAGUAGCUGAUGAGGACUGAAAUAUGCACCAGCGCUGUGCACUAUAUAAUGGGAACAUUUCUAUUUAUGCUUAUGAUUAGUAUUAUUAUUAUUAAGCUAACCAGUGCAGGUUUAAUUGAAGAUUUGGGAUAAUAAAAGAAAUAAUAGAGCUUCGGGCAUAGUCAAGCAAGCAUAGGCGAUUCAGACCAAGGUCAAUGUAUUAAGGGGGCUUAAGCCCAAUUAUCUUAGUAAAUGGGCUUGAGGCCCUAGGGCUUAUUUACAUGCUUAUAAAUAAAGACUUAGUAGUAGGUUAGAGGAUCUCAUUUUUUAUUCAUUCAUCUCUUGUAAAAUGUAAUUCUCUCGAUUAUAGUGAAAAAACCCCAAAACA